AACAGGCAAACAUUAAAUCUGAACAGUGUCCAGCUCUCUGUGUGCCUGCAUUUUACUGCAUACUAAUUUUCUCCUUUUUUGUGAGAACUGCGUCAAACACAGAUCGAGUUUUGCCUCAGAGGCUGCAUGAAAAUCAAAUCACAUGUGGAUCUUCUUUUAUUUGCUGGAAGCAGGCAUCUCCAGACUAUGUUUAAAGCUUCUAGGGCAUGCAGGAGAAGAGAUACAAAUCAAGUUCUCCUGGAGAAAGGCUGUUCCACAGCUUUAUGAAGCUAUGAACUGGAGAAUAACACAUGACCAAAAGCAAAUGGAGGUGAAUGAUGACCACAUUAUACUGGGUAUCCAGACCUGUCAAAGAAUGCCAAUGCAUCAAGAACUAUUGACCAACUUUGCCAUGCCUACAGAUUUUAGAAUAAGUAAUAAAAUGUCACUGAAGGUGUAUGGACAAAGUUCCCUUCAUGUUAUCCUGCAUAAAUAUUCUCAGCAAAUAUAUAUACUUGUGUCACUUUUUGAAAA
Zonotrichia albicollis (white-throated sparrow) is the source of this 513-nucleotide non-coding RNA. The record is from RefSeq and is a predicted model, not a curated record. Lineage: Eukaryota; Metazoa; Chordata; Aves; Passeriformes; Passerellidae.